Molecule: ribosomal RNA, 106 nt
Filed under: uncultured bacterium
Lineage: Bacteria
Description: partial 16S ribosomal RNA
Rfam family: Bacterial small subunit ribosomal RNA
Source: RNAcentral
CCUUGUACACACCGCCCGUCACACCAUGGGAGUCAGUUGCUCCAGAAGUGGCUUCCCCAACCCGCAAGGGAGGGUGGUCCCCAAGGAGUGGCUGGUAACUGGGGUG